This 253-nucleotide ribosomal RNA is filed under the name uncultured bacterium. Its description in RNAcentral is "partial 16S ribosomal RNA". It matches the Rfam family "Bacterial small subunit ribosomal RNA", at positions 524 to 776 of the family's 1533-position model. The record is from RNAcentral.
UACAGAGGGUGCAAGCGUUAAUCGGAUUUACUGGGCGUAAAGCGCGCGUAGGUGGUUCAGUAAGUUGGAUGUGAAAUCCCCGGGCUCAACCUGGGAGCUGCAUCCAAAACUGCUGAGCUAGAGUACGGUAGAGGGUGGUGGAAUUUCCUGUGUAGCGGUGAAAUGCGUAGAUAUAGGAAGGAACACCAGUGGCGAAGGCGACCACCUGGACUGAUACUGACACUGAGGUGCGAAAGCGUGGGGAGCAAACAGG